AUUCAAAUGACGAGUCCCAAAUAGGACGUAUCAUGUAUCUUGGAU
RNAcentral lists this non-coding RNA (45 nucleotides) under Schistosoma curassoni. Lineage: Eukaryota; Metazoa; Platyhelminthes; Trematoda; Strigeidida; Schistosomatidae. The record is from RNAcentral.